Molecule: ribosomal RNA, 497 nt
Filed under: uncultured bacterium
Lineage: Bacteria
Description: partial 16S ribosomal RNA
Rfam family: Bacterial small subunit ribosomal RNA
Source: RNAcentral
GAUGAACGCUGGCGGCGUGCCUAAUACAUGCAAGUCGAGCGAACGGACGAGAAGCUUGCUUCUCUGAUGUUAGCGGCGGACGGGUGAGUAACACGUGGAUAACCUACCUAUAAGACUGGGAUAACUUCGGGAAACCGGAGCUAAUACCGGAUAAUAUUUUGAACCGCAUGGUUCAAAAGUGAAAGGCGGUCUUGCUGUCACUUAUAGAUGGAUCUGCGCUGCAUUAGCUAGUUGGUAAGGUAACGGCUUACCAAGGCAACGAUGCAUAGCCGACCUGAGAGGGUGAUCGGCCACACUGGAACUGAGACACGGUCCAGACUCCUACGGGAGGCAGCAGUAGGGAAUCUUCCGCAAUGGGCGAAAGCCUGACGGAGCAACGCCGCGUGAGUGAUGAAGGUCUUCGGAUCGUAAAACUCUGUUAUUAGGGAAGAACAUAUGUGUAGGUAACUGUGCACAUCUUGACGGUACCUAAUCAGAAAGCCACGGCUAACUACGUG